This is a long non-coding RNA of Oncorhynchus gorbuscha (pink salmon), 983 nucleotides long. RefSeq lists it as uncharacterized. The transcript has 3 exons. The record is from RefSeq and is a predicted model, not a curated record. Lineage: Eukaryota; Metazoa; Chordata; Actinopteri; Salmoniformes; Salmonidae.
CACACACACACACACACACACGCAGGUACAGACAUGUAGCACACUCAGCUGUAGUGUAUAAAAGACCAUCCCUGGCUGUAGGGAGAAGCAGACAGACAGAGAGGAGGGAGAGACAGACUUCAUCACUGACUCCAGAUCUGAGGAGAAACUCAUCUGAAGAACCUCUCACACCAAUGUAAAGAGGUGACUGUGAUUUCCUCAGACCAAUUGGCAGAACAGCCCAGUUCCGGCAUCACAAACAGGAUGAUUGAUUCUGCACAUCCUAUGGGAAGGCGUGAGGGAAUUUCUCAUCUGAUGAAAAGACGACUGGGACCCGCCCAGACCAUAGGAGACAUAUCAUAAGUGAACAAUAGAGGGACAUAUCUACUGACUUUUCAAACAGGUUGUCCCUGGAAGGAACGGAGGAAGACAUUGUAGAGAAUUUAGUCCCCCUUAACAGUGUUCUUAAGACUCGUUUCCCACGGGUGAAGGCGUCUUUGUCGAACCUAGCAGGUGGAGCCGAACACUGUUUGAACCCAGGUCAUUCCGUGGUGGUCAAAGACUUUUAGGAGAAAGAGUUGGAACGACGCCCGUCGAUAUCAAGUUCUUCAAGACCACCCCCCCCCACUGCGGUGAAGGUUGCUGAGAGAGAUACCUGGAUCCACGCGUCGCACUGCAGACGAGUUCCUGAUCCAGGAGAAGAUGAGGCCUCGCCAGUCCCGGCGGUGCCGUGUGGCCCUCCUCUGCUUUAGCACAGGAAUGCUAAUAGGAACAGUAGGCUGUCUUCUUGUAGGAAACCCGACAGAGGGUCAAAUGAGUCCUGAGCCAAAGGGGCAAACACAGGCCUGGAGUAGUGGCCCAGAAGUAGAUGGUCACCGUAGAAGGAGAGCCCUGCUUGGCCCUCACAACCAUGAGGACAAUUUGUUCUUAUCUAGAGCACAAAUGGUUGCCAACCUGACAUCCAAAGGAAAGGACUGUUGGGUGUGUGGGUUGAGUCCGGUGAA